GCCUGCCCAGUGACAAAGUUCAACGGCCACGGUAUCCUAACCGUGCGAAGGUAGCAUAAUCACUUGUUCUUUAAAUGGGGACUUGUAUCAACGGCAUCACGAGGGUUACACUGUCUCCUUUUUCUAAUCAGUGAAACUAAUCUUCCCGUGAAGAAGCGGGAAUAUCCCCAUAAGACGAGAAGACCCCAUGGAGCUUCAAACCCAAUUACACCCCUAACCCCUAUAACUACUUAACCCUUAGGAUUCUGUAUUAUUGGUUUUAGGUUGGGGCGACCACGGAGUACAACAAAACCUCCACAAUGAACGGAACUACUUCCUCAUCUGAGAGCUACACCUCUAAGAAUUAAAAUAUUAACAUAAAAUGAUCCAUUUUUGAUCAAUGAACCAAGUUACCCUGGGGAUAACAGCGCAAUCCAUUUCAAGAGCCCCUAUCGACAAAUGGGUUUACGACCUCGAUGUUGGAUCAGGGUAUCCUGGUGGUGCAGCAGCUACUAAAGGUUCGUUUGUUCAACGAUCAAAACCCUACGUGA
Molecule: ribosomal RNA, 530 nt
Filed under: Mantidactylus katae
Lineage: Eukaryota; Metazoa; Chordata; Amphibia; Anura; Mantellidae
Description: partial large subunit ribosomal RNA
Rfam family: Bacterial large subunit ribosomal RNA
Source: RNAcentral